AGGGUCACUACUUACCGAGAUAUGAGGCCCAGAAGUUGGGACCAGAUGCUCGUGUGACAGCAACAUCGAGUCCUAGGGAGCCUUCACUUUCCGAAGCCAUAUGAUUGACAUGCCACUGCUGCUACAAGCUCGUAACAUUCUACAAAUGACACCCAGUAAGACACAGGAAUCGUAAUUGGAAGUUAUCUAAUUAUACAAGAGUUCUGGAUAAGCACAAAAUAUUGGAGAGAAUCUUCCAAAGGAAGUUACUGUUAUUCUAAUGAAGGGUUCUUGGUCAAAAGAAUUAGAUCAAGUCUUCUUAUCCUCAGGUCAAUCCAGGUUUGAUCCAAGGAUGGGAAGCGUAGCCCCAAUUCCUUUAAUCAAGAACCCUUCAACAACAUGAAGGUCUUUGCUGUUGUGUAGUGGGCAACAAUUAUUCAAGUGACUAAAAUACUGACUUUUUUUUGUGCUUUUAUUUAUUCUGAAUGCAGAUAAAUAUUUAAUAUAAACUGUUAAAAAAAUAUAAGGUACAGUAAUGUAUUAUAAAAAAUAAAAAAUAUAAAUUUCA
Molecule: non-coding RNA, 547 nt
Organism: Cherax quadricarinatus
Lineage: Eukaryota; Metazoa; Arthropoda; Malacostraca; Decapoda; Parastacidae
Source: RefSeq, a predicted model, not a curated record